This 2899-nucleotide long non-coding RNA is filed under the name Homo sapiens (human). Its description in RNAcentral is "HSALNT0098231". Lineage: Eukaryota; Metazoa; Chordata; Mammalia; Primates; Hominidae. The record is from RNAcentral.
GGGGGGGGCGCAUUUAAAAAGUGGCAAAUGAGAAAUUACGGCAUUGCAUCUUCUGUGGUUUGUUCAAGAGAAUAGGAAGUCACCUGCUGCGUGAGUGGGCAGGUGGGGUCUGGUAGAUGGUGCUGGUGUAGGUGACGAAAAUACUCAGAUAUGAAAUGGUGGCAGCAGUGUAAAAGGGCAGGAGCCUUUUGUAAACUGCCUUAUAAAUUAAAAAAAAAAAUGUAGACUGGGUGCGGUGGCUCAUGGCUGUAAUCUCAACACUUUGGGAGGCCAAGGUGGGUGGAUCACUUGAGGUCAGGAGUUGGAGAUCAGCCUGGCCAACAUAGUGAAACCCUGUCUCUACUAAAAACACAAAAUCAGCCAGGUGUGCUGGUGCAUGCCUGUAAUUCCAGCUACUCUGGAGGCUGAGGCAGGAGAAUCGCUUGAACCUGGGAGGCGGAGGUUGCAGUGAGCCGUGAUUGUGCCACUGCACUCCAGCCUGGGCAACAAGAGAGAGAAAAAAACUCUGUCUCAGAGAGAGAGAGAGACAGAGAGAGAGAAAGGAAAGGAAGGGAAGGGGAGGGGAGGGGAGGGAAGAGAGAGAGAGAGAAAGAGAAAGAAAGAAAGAGAGACAGAAAGAGAGAAAGGAAGGAAGAAAGAAAGAAAGAAAAAGAGAAAGAAAGAGAAAGAAAGAAAGAGAGAAAGAAGUAAAGUCAAUGAUAAAGCAAGCAACACUUGAAUAUUACAAAAAUUGUGUAGGAGUCUAUGAAUGGUGGUAAUGUGGGAAACCUUGUCUUUAGAAAUCACCCAUUUCCCUUGAGGUCUCCUAGAUCAAGUCCAAAUAGUAUUAUAUUCUCCACGUUAGGACUGCCUUGAACUUCAGUUCACUUGAUUUUCCAAUCGCCUUGGCCCAUUCUCCACCUGCCUUCUCUCCUCUCCGCUGUGUUGGUGAAGCAAGCCCUGCUCCUGCCUUCCUCUCCUUUCUCCCUCCCUCCCCAGCAUUGGGAGUCUUGGGGCUCUGACGGGGGUCCCGCGAAGUCCCAGUGCUGUAAAUAGUGCCUGCCAUACCUUGAUGGAAUGUUCCAUACGAGCUACUGUUAUUAGGUGUGUUCCCCUUAUGGCUUUUCAAAAUAAAGUAAAAUAACACCGGCUUAGUUCUGAAAGGAACCCAGCCCUCCUUCUUUCUUUCCAAUCCGACUUGUGUGUCUACAUUUAAUUAAUUGGGCUUGUAGCUCAUAGAUCCUCUGAUUUGCACAAACAAUUAAGUGUAAUUACUUGGGAACACCCAUAAGGGCUCAUAAUCUAUUAUGCUUGGCAAAUUUGGCCAAACAAAAUUAGAGAUGCCGUUUCCAAAUCUGGUUCUGCUAUGUCUACUGUGCUCAUUCUUGGAAUAAACAUGCAAAGCAGAGUUGAUUUACACGUUCGGCCUUUGAUGACAUUGUGAUGUUGCAUCAUUUCUUCCAGGGCUAGAUGCCUUGUUUUCAGAAAGACUAAAGCCUUCUCUGUCCAAUUUUACUCAGUUCAUUUCACCAGAUACAUGGGACACCUUCAAGGACCAUACUUUGUUUCAAGCCCCCUUCCCCAACACACCAUGUACUAAGCACUCUGCAAGGUGCUCCAUGGGCAACUACCUUGUCCCAUCUUGAUCACUUCCAGAUGUUCAUUGCCCAGGAGACAAUUUUCAGCUUUAUAUUUUUUUGAAAUGAGUAUGUGGACACUUCUGAAAUCAAUUUUUCUUGUUGCCAUCGUUGCUAAUGUGAUUUCAUUUUACGUGCUCUGCUUGGCUUCCUGAUGAAUUUAUUCUUUGCACUUUCCUUGGAAUUUCUGAGUCAUAAAAAUUAGAGACUCCAUAUCCCCAGAGGUGAUGCCUUAUCAGACCUGUGCUGAGGACACUGGCCUUGCCUACAUGUGUGGCCCUUCAUCGGGAGACUGGCAAGAGAAGCACAGUUUGAGUUCAGUGAAAGGUCUGAGACAGGAUGACCCUGUUUUUAGGAAGCAUGCAGUAGAAGACCUAAGAAUGCAUGAAAACAAUAAAACAUCUUAGAUCCUUAGAAUAAACAAAGGAGACAAAGACAAAAUGAUCUCUUUGCUCCUCGGACAGAUCCUAAUUAAGUUAAGGUAGAUGAAGAAAUUAGGAUCAGGAGAUAAACGGGAUAAGGCCCUGCCCUCAACAUGCUUGCCAUUUAAUGAAGAGGAACCCAGGGAGAUAAGAUAUGUAGACAGAGGAAUGUGGGCCAUGCACUCAGAGCUGCAGAGACACAGAGCUAAGAGGGAAUAGGGAGUGCUUGCUUGCAGAGAUGAAACUUGCAAAGAAAGGAAGCUUCUAACUGAGUUAGAAGCGAGGGAAAGAAGAGAUGGAUGAAGGCCUGGGGAGCUAGAAAGAGAAAGAUUCCAGGAAAGAAGAAAGUGAUCUAAGUUAGCACUUCUCCAACUUGAAUAUGCACGGGUCACACCAGGGAUCUUAGAACGAAGCAAAUCCUGACCCAGUUAAUCUGGGAUGGGGUCCAAGAUAUUCUGCGUUUCUGUAAUGCCUCUGGUUCCUGGACCCCUCAUGGUACAGAGGGAGGACGCCCUGGCUAUAUUUGGAGGCCUCAGGCUAGAACUAAAAAUGAUAGGAAUUUGACAUUAAAAUUGUGAUCAAAUUCCAGAGGGACAUGAACAUCAGAAUGACUUGAUAACAUUGCUUGUUUUGAGCUUUUCCUUCAAAUUUUAGCCCCUGAUGUGGUUUGUUUACGGUAACAACAACAGGAAUACUCACUGAGCCACUACUACAUACAGGCACUUUGCUCAGUGCUGGAAAUACAGCAGUGAUCCAUGGACCAAAAUCCCUGUUCUAGUGCAGAUGACAUUCUUUCUAAUGAGGUGAGAAAGAUAAUAAGCAACACAAAUAAUAAAUAAGUAAGUGACUUAGUGUUAGUGA